Molecule: unclassified non-coding RNA, 251 nt
Filed under: plant metagenome
Description: partial contains small subunit ribosomal RNA, internal transcribed spacer 1, and 5.8S ribosomal RNA
Rfam family: Eukaryotic small subunit ribosomal RNA (bases 1-54)
Source: RNAcentral
GGAAGUAAAAGACGUAACAAGGUCUCCGUAGGUGAACCUGCGGAGGGAUCAUUACAGAGUUCAUGCCCUACCGGGUAGAUCUCCCACCCUAUGUUAUUAUUACUUUGUUGCUUUGGCGGGCCGUUAGGCUCCGGCCCGACUACCGGCCCCGGCUGGUAAGCGCCCGCCAGAGGACCCAAAACCCUGAAUAUUAGUGUCGUCUGAGUACUAUAUAAUAGUUAAAACUUUCAACAACGGAUCUCUUGGUUCUG